CGUUGCAAAGUGUGGUACAUAUCAGUGUCCAGGGUGGUAAAUAGGGGUGUGUUUGUCCUGCUACAGCAUUGGUUAGCCUUGUUAAUGUCCAGUCACGUGGUGUCAUACAGACGGCCAUGUUUCCGAAACACAAACAACAAGAAGAGCAGCGACUAAGAUCCAGCACAUACAUAUUGAUACGCAGCAGCGACCGUUGGAAGAGAGGGGAAAUAUAAUAAAUAAUAUACAUAGCACGCCUUUCUGAAAGUACGAUUCUGUCGAAUGAAUACGUUUACAGUGUUUAGAGAGACCAAUGCAUGCGAUAUAUUGGCUAUAGACACAUCGUGCAGACAAGCAGUCUGGUAGCUAUAAACAGAGAAGUGGUGGGGGACAGGAAGUAAAGGAGUUAUCUGGAGGGUCUCCGUCAAUCCGCAUUUCAGUUGAAGCGAGAGAAAAGGGCUCGGAGGAGAGAGAAAGGAGAAGAGGAGUACGAGUCGCAUCUGCUCUUGGCAGCUGUUCCAGCAGCCCGUUUCAUCGUUUUGGCUGUUAUUUUGUUCCUGAAUUACCUUUUUUGAUGACUCAAUUCAUAUUUUUAACUUUAAUGUGAGAUAUAACUGCUGUUUAAAAAAAAAAAAAAAAAAAAAAAAAAAA
Long non-coding RNA from Monopterus albus (swamp eel), 630 nucleotides. RefSeq lists it as uncharacterized. The transcript has 2 exons. NCBI's taxonomy places the organism in Eukaryota, Metazoa, Chordata, Actinopteri, Synbranchiformes, Synbranchidae. The record is from RefSeq and is a predicted model, not a curated record.